CUGCCCAUCAGAAGGGGAUAACACUUGGAAACAGGUGCUAAUACCGUAUAACACUAUUUUCCGCAUGGAAGAAAGUUGAAAGGCGCUUUUGCGUCACUGAUGGAUGGACCCGCGGUGCAUUAGCUAGUUGGUGAGGUAACGGCUCACCAAGGCCACGAUGCAUAGCCGACCUGAGAGGGUGAUCGGCCACACUGGGACUGAGACACGGCCCAGACUCCUACGGGAGGCAGCAGUAGGGAAUCUUCGGCAAUGGACGAAAGUCUGACCGAGCAACGCCGCGUGAGUGAAGAAGGUUUUCGGAUCGUAAAACUCUGUUGUUAGAGAAGAACAAGGAUGAGAGUAGAACGUUCAUCCCUUGACGGUAUCUAACCAGAAAGCCACGGCUAACUACGCGCCAGCAGCCGCGGUAAUGCGUAGGUGGCAAGCGUUGUCCGGAUUUAUUGGGCGUAAAGCGAGCGCAGGCGGUUUCUUAAGUCUGAUGUGAAAGCCCCCGGCUCAACCGGGGAGGGUCAUUGGAAACUGGGAGACUUGAGUGCAGAAGAGGAGAGUGGAAUUCCAUGUGUAGCGGUGAAAUGCGUAGAUAUAUGGAGGAACACCAGUGGCGAAGGCGGCUCUCUGGUCUGUAACUGACGCUGAGGCUCGAAAGCGUGGGGAGCGAACAGGAUUAGAUACCCUGGUAGUCCACGCCGUAAAC
RNAcentral lists this ribosomal RNA (694 nucleotides) under uncultured bacterium. Its description in RNAcentral is "bacterial SSU rRNA". It matches the Rfam family "Bacterial small subunit ribosomal RNA", at positions 126 to 807 of the family's 1533-position model. The record is from RNAcentral.